GGAAAUUACUUGGCCUACAAGAGUAAGAUGCGUGAGAGUUUACUUCUACAACAAAUCAAACUUCCGAGUUAUUCAAUCAUUAAUAUUCUACAUUAUGCUACAUAAUGUUUGCAUUAUCUUUUUACAGCUCAACAACUACUCAGCGUGCCUCCUGCCACCAGGCCGACCUCCCAGGCUCGGGGGUUCGGGGGCUUAGGGCGGGAGGCGACUCGGCGUGCUUCCGUGGCUCGGCCGGCCCCCGACUCGGGGGCUGGGUGCCACAGAUGACUCGGCGAGCCUCCUGCUGCUCGGCCGACCUCUUUGGCUUGGGGCAGGAGGCGACUCGGUGUACUUCCGUGACUUGGGUGGCUCCCAGGCUCAGGGGCUG
RNAcentral lists this long non-coding RNA (367 nucleotides) under Setaria viridis. Its description in RNAcentral is "long non-coding RNA (SVIR_LNC003988)". Lineage: Eukaryota; Viridiplantae; Streptophyta; Magnoliopsida; Poales; Poaceae. The record is from RNAcentral.